UUCAUUUCUCAUUUUUAUUUAUUUAACCCUUAUGUAGAUUUUUUUCAAAACUGUGGAAUAUAACUUAGUUUUUUUCUCUAUGAUCGACUACUACUGUAGUACAAUUACAUCGGGAUCGAAGUCGGGCUCGAAAAGCAAUUAAUUUGAAAACAACACACCGCGCCGAAAUUCAAUUUCUUGGAGAGUUCCACGCAGCCAUGUUGAACUUGAUCAUGAUGUUGUACGGGGCGAAAGAGAGUGACACGAAAAGGAGAAGCAUGAUUAGCUUUGGAUGUAAUUUCUGUUUCAACAGAAGAUGAAGACAUUUACGACCCUGUUUAGCGGUAGGAACAAUGUACAAAAUUUUAUCAUGUGUCCUUGAAUGAAUAAUUGCACCUGCUACUGAUAAUGUUACUGUUCCUUAGUCUGGGCACUACACAUAAAAUGCCUGGCAGUAAAAACGUUUGGGCAAGCGCUAUUUAAAUUUCGUAAUAAUUUUUUAACACUUUUAAUUAUCUCUCUUAAAGAUGGAUUUUAACCAGAAUUUUCUCGUUUGGUAUUGGUUUCAGAAUUUUAGUCACUAAAGUGUUCCUCUGUUCAGAAUUUACAGAGUAUGUUGUACAAUGUAAUAAAAUAUUUAUUUAUUUCUUAUGCAUACUCAAGAAUAUAUUCAGCACUUAUUUUGAUUAUUUAAAUAGUUGCAGUGGACUGUGCCUGAGAGGAUUCCCCACAUCGCCGGCUAUGUAGACAGCUUGUGAAAAUGAAAUUGUGCCAGAAAAGUUUGAAGUAGCUAUGGGAAUGACCAACAUUGAACUUGCUGAGCCUUCCUUCUGAAAGUGACUUGACCAGAUAUUUGGCUACCCAGUAUGAGUAUCUUUCUGCUACAUUAAAAUAAAUAUUGUGGAGGAAAACAAAGAAAAGGGCUGUGCAUCUCAACAUAUUCAAGGUCAAGCAGGUAAAUACAUUGGUAAAUUGCUCCAAAAAAAAUGGCAAAAAGUCACCAGUCUCCAAUUUACAUGUACUUCCACAAAAUCUGUAGCUUGCUGCUGUGAAACUAUAGAUACGUAUGUCUUAAUAUAUUAAAUGCUGUAAAUGCUAUUAUUUUCAUUUUUGUAAACUUUGUAAAUCUUCAAAUUCCAUGUGUUCGGACUACGGUACCAUUAUGUAUGUUUCAUAUCAUAU
Saccostrea cuccullata (small rock oyster) is the source of this 1161-nucleotide long non-coding RNA. RefSeq lists it as uncharacterized. NCBI's taxonomy places the organism in Eukaryota, Metazoa, Mollusca, Bivalvia, Ostreida, Ostreidae. The transcript is spliced from 3 exons. The record is from RefSeq and is a predicted model, not a curated record.